RNAcentral lists this ribosomal RNA (253 nucleotides) under uncultured bacterium. RNAcentral's name for it is "partial 16S ribosomal RNA". It matches the Rfam family "Bacterial small subunit ribosomal RNA", at positions 524 to 776 of the family's 1533-position model. The record is from RNAcentral.
UACGGGGGGGGCAAGCGUUGUUCGGAAUUACUGGGCGUAAAGGGUUUGUAGGUGGCCCGCUAAGUCACACGUGAAAUCCCUCAGCUUAACUGGGGAACUGCGUGUGAGACUGGCAGGCUCGAGGGCAGGAGAGGAACGCGGAAUUCCAGGUGUAGCGGUGAAAUGCGUAGAUAUCUGGAGGAACACCGGUGGCGAAGGCGGCGUUCUGGACUGUCUCUGACACUGAAGAACGAAAGCCAGGGGAGCAAACGAG